UCCUACGGGAGGCAGCAGUGGGGAAUAUUGCACAAUGGGCGCAAGCCUGAUGCAGCAACGCCGCGUGAGGGACGACGGCCUUCGGGUUGUAAACCUCUUUUAGCAGGGAAGAAGCGAAAGUGACGGUACCUGCAGAAAAAGCACCGGCUAACUACGUGCCAGCAGCCGCGGUAAUACGUAGGGUGCAAGCGUCGUCCGGAAUUAUUGGGCGUAAAGAGCUCGUAGGCGGUUUGUCGCGUCUGCUGUGAAAACCCGAGGCUCAAUCUCGGGCCUGCAGUGGGUACGGGCAGACUAGAGUGCGGUAGGGGAGAUUGGAAUUCCUGGUGUAGCGGUGGAAUGCGCAGAUAUCAGGAGGAACACCGAUGGCGAAGGCGGUUCUCUGGGAAUGUUCUGACGCUGAGGAGCGAAAGUGUGGGGAGCGAACAGGAUUAGAUACCCUGGUAGUCCACACCGUAAACGUUGGGCGCUAGGUGUGGGACACAUUCCACGUGUUCCGUGCCGCAGCUAACGCAUUAAGCGCCCCGCCUGGGGAGUACGGCCGCAAGGCUAAAACUCAAAUGAAUUGACGGA
RNAcentral lists this ribosomal RNA (570 nucleotides) under uncultured bacterium. RNAcentral's name for it is "bacterial SSU rRNA". It matches the Rfam family "Bacterial small subunit ribosomal RNA", at positions 337 to 917 of the family's 1533-position model. The record is from RNAcentral.